GCCAUUGCACGAGCAGCCGCGCUCUCCAUUCAUUUGCAGACAGUUCUGCUCUUCUUCCUCUCCCCCUCCCCCGUGCUGGAUCCCAGCAGGGGGGCAGUUCCGCCGGGGGCAGCGAGGGUGUCCGCCCCCUGCCUGGCAGGCGGCAGGGAGCCUUGUGCAUCGCUCCAGCGAGCAUCGCCGGCUCCUCCACCAAGUGCACCACCGCCGCAGGAAAGCCAGCCAAUCACAGCCACUUUUUUAAAUAAAGCCUCUUACGACAUUAUUCGUUCUCCUCUCUAGUUUGCCUUUUUUUUUUCAAUCGGACCCCUUGGGGGAGGCGCUCCCUCCCCACCCCCCAGCCUCUGGCCCAGCGGGGAGCGUCCCCGGGAGCCGGCGCGGAGAUUACGCACGCCCCGCAGAACCGGUUCCCUGGAGAAGGGAGGAGGAGGACUCCAGGGCACUUUGGAACUGAACCAGUUUCCCAAGACACUAUUAAAAGUACGGUGAUGCAGGAGGAGCUACCUACUGGAUGAUAUGUGAAACAAGCUGCUUGAGGGCCUUAUCUGGGACUAAAACUGCAAUGUCCUGCUGUAUUCCUCACAUUAUUCUGAGAAAACAGAACCAACAAAUACAACUACACAUUGGCUGAAAUAAGUUCUUGGCAUGUUUUAUUUCUAUUGCAAAUUCUUUGUACAGGAUCUGCAAAUUGUAAGCUUAACAACAGAAGUCUUGCAGUGGCUUUCAGAUGGUAUCUACAUUUUAAGAGGGGUGAGUGCACCACCUAGAGGAGAUAAUGAUACUUUUUUGCUGACUAUUACAAAACUUUCCAUUUGGUGCUGUAGGUUAAGUGAAAGUUAACACAUGGCACAACGGACCAUUGAGAAGCUGUUGAUUUACUUUGUGCCUGCUGACCUUUCUGGUGAAUACAAAAUAUGUAAGAAUCCUUUCCAGGGCACACAAAACUUUGAAUAAUUUUGAAGACUGGUGAUUACAGCAAAAAAGAAUCCUGACCUUCAGUCUGUUCACCAGCUGUGGGACCUUGGAAGACUUGGUAAAACUGUCAAUGCUGAGAGGCUGAGUUCACGAAGGUUUUUACAAUGCUUUGAUAUCCUUGGAAAGGGGCUCUGAGUGCAAAGUGUUUUUUGUUUUAUUAUUCAUCUGAUAACAUAGAUAGCUUCUCUGUUUGCAUACAGCAUAGUUCCUUCUCUGUGCUAAUGGUUCUGACAUUUAAGAGGAUUGUCUAGUUUAUGUUGCUUGAAAAGUAAGAUCAUGUUUGCAAACAUGGAUUUCCUCCUUCCCUUUAACUAUUACUGCCUAGGGUUUUAUUUUAUUUUUUUACAAUUACUCUUUCAAUUUUUGUAUGAGAUAAGCACUGUGACAGGGCUUGCUGACACCCAAAUGUAGACCUAUUUAUAGCAGGUCCACAAGAUCACACAUUCAAGAUGAAACUGGGGCCACCAUGUUCUUCCAGGACUUGUCAUGAUGAAUGAGGCAACACAGAACAGAGAGCAAAGGGUAAAGGAUUUUUUUUAAUGAUAAAGCUGGUUUCUUUGAAUGACGUUUCUCCUUGGAUCUAUCAUAAGAGAAGUUCUCUGUGCUACCAUUACAGAGGUCCUUGAAUACAUGAUGAAGCACCUGUGAGAAUGGACAUGCAGGCAGAACUACUGUCACAAUAGAUCCAUAAAACACAUCUUUCUGAAACUGUAAAUAGCGGGUGGGAAGAAUUAUGUUCUCAUGCAGUCGUGGGGUUGUGGAAUUAAAGCACUUUCAGGUAGCUUUGAGCGAUGCUGCUCAGCCAACUGUUCCCUCUCUCUCUUUUGUUUGGUAAGACUUUGUAAUAAAUUCUUGACUUAAACAAU
Molecule: long non-coding RNA, 1838 nt
Organism: Gopherus flavomarginatus (Mexican gopher tortoise)
Lineage: Eukaryota; Metazoa; Chordata; Testudines; Testudinidae
Exons: 4
Source: RefSeq, a predicted model, not a curated record